This 83-nucleotide transfer RNA is filed under the name Lachnospiraceae bacterium. RNAcentral's name for it is "tRNA-Leu". It matches the Rfam family "tRNA". Rfam says of the family: Transfer RNA (tRNA) molecules are approximately 80 nucleotides in length. Their secondary structure includes four short double-helical elements and three loops (D, anti-codon, and T loops). The record is from RNAcentral. Lineage: Bacteria; Bacillati; Bacillota; Clostridia; Lachnospirales; Lachnospiraceae.
UGCGGAUGUGGCGGAACUGGCAGACGCGCUAGACUUAGGAUCUAGUGGGUAUCCCGUGCAGGUUCAAGUCCUGUCAUCCGCAU